This 49-nucleotide transfer RNA is filed under the name Stenella attenuata (bridled dolphin). RNAcentral describes it as "partial tRNA-Pro". Lineage: Eukaryota; Metazoa; Chordata; Mammalia; Artiodactyla; Delphinidae. The record is from RNAcentral.
GAAUUCCAGCUUUGGGUGUUGGUGGUGAGGUUUAAUGUCUCUUCCUUGA